CGUGCCAUGGCCGAAUUGGUCAAGGCAUCGACGAUUAUAGGCUAAGAUGCGGGUUCAAGUCCCGCUGGAACGG
RNAcentral lists this transfer RNA (73 nucleotides) under Operophtera brumata (winter moth). It matches the Rfam family "tRNA". Rfam says of the family: Transfer RNA (tRNA) molecules are approximately 80 nucleotides in length. Their secondary structure includes four short double-helical elements and three loops (D, anti-codon, and T loops). The record is from Rfam by way of RNAcentral. Lineage: Eukaryota; Metazoa; Arthropoda; Insecta; Lepidoptera; Geometridae.